CCUAAACAAACACCCUCUAAAAGUGAAUCAAAACUCUAAAACAACCUCAGAACUCUGUUUGCCUAACACCCCUUUGGUUUUCUUGUUUUUCCUCCCGUGCUAUAUACUUGUAUAUUGAGAUAGAAAAGCUUAGCUUGUGCCAUUCAAGAGGCCGCCCUAUCAUCUUGGCGCUGCGACCAGCUUAGCUUGCGCUUUAGCACCCCUACACUGCCUUCGUGUCACCAUUGCAAUCGCAUCAUAAUUAGGUUUUAUUUUCCUAAAAACCAGCAAUCGAGAUUGUCAACGCCAACGCCCUUUUCCUCCUUUGUCGCUCUACUAAUUGAAAUCCAAAUGGCCUCGGAAGAAGUAACCGGUGGUGAUGCUGAUGUUAGUGGUGUCAGUGUCAAGUUUGAGCAUCUUAAGUUGGAGGGAGAGGGAGCUACACUCUACGAUGAGGUGCAGACUUUUGAUCACAAAGCUAUGUUAGAAAAGUUACAAGGUCUCCUGCAAAGUAUGGAAGAAAAUUGGUUCGCUCAUCUCCCAUUUAGAGGCAAAAUGAAUUCUGAAUUUAAUGAGGUGAAUAAGUAUUAUGCUUAUUGUGAAUUCAAAGAGGAUAGAAACCUUCGUACUUCAAGUGUCACUUUUUUGAAAAGUCUAACCGACCUUCCUAUUUCGAAACUUAAAGCAAUAGUACAGGGAAAACCUACCUCGUUAACCCCCAUUCGUUCCCUCUAUUAUAAUUUGUCAAACAGCCAUAGUUUUAAAAAGAAAAAAGGGGAAGUAACCAUGGCUAAAGUUUCGUCUUAUAUUGAUGAUUUAUGCUGUCAUUUUCUUUGCACCCGACAAUCAUUAGGUGUUAAAGCGUCAGACUCUGCGUCAGACUCAAAUUCAAUUUUUGUUGGAAAUAUUGUUGUCAUUAGAAGUGAUAUUGAUUCAAAUGGAGAUAUUGAGGACGAUGCUAGUAUAUUGAAUCAACCGUAUAGAAUCAAUUUCUCCAAUAUCAAAUCUAUUAAAAUCGCCAGAGAACAUCCAAAAUUUAUUCUUAUUGUAGAAAAGAUGACUGUUUUUGAAGAUUUACUCUCACAAAGGUUCCACCGCCAGUUUCCAUGUGUCGUCAUAACCGGUGAGGGUGAACCAAGCUUAGAUUGCAGGAUGUUUGUUAGAAUGGUGUGGGAAACCUAACAAGUGCCUGUUUUAGCUCUCGUUGAUUGUAAUCCUGCUGGUUUUGAGAUCUUUAAGACAUAUAAAUAUGGAUCAUUUAACAUGGCAUUCAUGAGUCAGAACUUGGUAGUCCCUACGGUUAAGCUGAUUGGAUUACUUAGGUCAGAUUUAAAUGAGUGUAACAUAUCUGAUUCUGACAUGAUAUCAACAAAUGACAAAGAUAUAUCUAAAGCAGUGCAACUAUCAAAGGAAUCUUGGAUAAACCAUGAGCCUGCCAUUUCACAAGAUGUGCAGUCUAUCUUGAAUGAUAAGAAGAAGGCUGAUAUUGAAAUAUUAUCCUCGAAAAAUGGUCCAGAUUUUUUGGUAGAUACUUACCUUAAACAGAAGAUACAGAAGAUACUAGAUUUGAAGACCGACUAAGAAGGACCUAUGAGUGUCGAAGUGGGACUGGGCGUGGUUAAGUGUUGCUUCCCUACCCGUGUGACUAUUUGUCAAUGUUCCUGUUUUUCCAAGCAAGAGGUCAAACGUGAGGGAUUUGGGCGCUCAAUCAGAAGAAGUUGCUUUGUGAGAUUUCUAUGCACUUGCUGCAUCUCUUUUCUUCUAUGUUACUACUUUAACCUUGUUUUUGGGUCGAGAGCCUGAUCUUCAAGGAAUUCUUUGCUCCAGUUCGCAAAUCCUCAUACAACAGAAUAAGUGUAUUCUAGAAGGAAACAAUUAUGUACCCAGCGAUAAACUAAAUGCUCCCACUGAGAGAGCUAUUGGUUUUUACAAUCAAGAGGUGGCUUCCGCUAAUUUGGGAGUGCUGAGAUCGUCUGCUCAUAAUUUCUUGUUAGUUUUAUUCAAUGCUUUCCUGGUCUCCACAAAUGAUCCUGGUGGAAGCUUGCUGAUACAAUUCGAUGUUCUUUUUCAUGCUAUCAUAAGUUUCUAUCUGUUAUAUAGUGUUAGCCGUGUCUGCUUGCUGAUUCGGGUAGAGUGACUUCAUUUUUGUUUGUCAUAGUUCAUGUCGGUUGUUUUUCUUUAUUACAUAAUUAUUCAAUAUCAACCCUGUUGAAUGUUGCAGGUAUAUGUUUAUGAUUUUUUUUUCUUGCUCCAGUUUAUUUGUUUUUUUUUUUUUUUUUUUUUUUUUUUUUUUUUUUUUUUUUUUUUUUUUUGCAUUGUCAGGCUAUUUAGACAAAACGUUCUGUACUGUCAAGUUGUUGGUCUACAUAGAUUGAUUGAUUUUGUUUCAGUUAUAAUUCAAUGCUCAGCCAUAAUUAGGUAUGAUGGGCUUUGUGAGCACAGGAAGCCCCAGCCUUAAUACCUUUGUAUCUUUCCCAAAAUGAGUGUAUAAUUUCCCAUCUUUUCCUCCACCAUCAAUCACCAUCUCUUAUUUUAGAUUCCACCACCCCUAGUCAAUACCCUUGAUUUCCUUAACAAUCUAUAUAAUUAACUCAAAUGUGCACUAAGGCAAUAGGGAUCAUGUUGUGCCUUUUUGUACCCCAUUGCGUUGAAGCGCACUUGAUAGAAAUAAAACAUUCGUUGGCAAAAAAAAGUUGUGCUCCUCAUUGCGCCUAGGUGAGCUUCACUGAAAUCACCUCGCCUAGAGAAAAAAGGUGUUUGACUCCUAGCGCCUAGGGGCGUGCCUAUUUAUAUAUUGUCCACUAAAAAAUGUAGCAAGAUUUGUUAUGCUUUGGAACUGUAUUAAGAGGGUGUCCUGCCUCACGUACUAGUGAAUUUGUGUUUCUGUGAUGUUCAGUAAAAGCGUUGUUGGACCUUUAUGUAUAUGAAGCAUCUAUUAGAAUUUCAUUUGAUCCCUUUAUCUUGUGGAUUUGGGAUGCUUGAAGACAUUUUCUGUCUCCCUUAGGGUUUAUAUAUGUCUCUCUCCUCUCCAUUCCCCUUCCCUGCUUGAAAUAUUCAUUCUGCCUCAAUGACUGACUACAUGACAAUGUUAUAGGGGAUCAAACUUUAAGGAGGAUAUCUGAGUGAAUGUGUAUGUUUCUGAGAAUUUCUUAGUUUUACAAUGUUUGGUUGUGAGAAGGUAUGGAGGUGUAAAUCUAAGCCAAUGUGGGAAAAUCUUUUAGUUGCCCUUUUUUUUUUUUGAAUGGUUUUUCCUUCAAAAGUGUUGGAAUAACUAUGGAAAACUAAGCAAAUCAAUACCAUAGCUGAAGGAUACUCAAUUUUCCACAGUUUUCCAUGAUAACAAACCAAACAAGUUAACAUUGAAGAUUUCCAUGUAUUCCUCUGGUUUUACUGUUGCACAGAUUUCCAUAGGUUUACUUCUCUAUUUUUCCAUUAAAUUGGGUCCCGAACACAUUGUUAUUAUUGAGGUAUACUGAGUUGCAUUUCAGUAUUGUGUUAAAACAGUGAUAAUUUAAUUUUGUAGGCAAACUUAGAAUACAGAUCCUAGAUGUUUUCAUCAGUAUGGGGAUAAAUCUAAUAAAAGUUGGUAUAAAUGUUGGGAAGUGGGAAAUUUUGGUAUUGGAUUAAUUUUUCCUGGCUGUCCUUGUCAAAUUAACUGUCUGCUAUGGCCCUAUGGGUUGCUGGCUGCUUCACUUAACUCUGCCGGUGGCUAAACUGAUGAGUGAUAGUUCACUUAUUAUAUUUUUAACUUGUUUAGAAAAACAUAUUAAUCUGCUAUAUACUGCUGCUAUUCUCCCCAUGGGUUCAUAUGUUUUCUAAGGAUAGUGAUGCCUUCUUUUGAUGUAAUUGGAACCUAGAAUCCUCUUCUUCAAGUUAGAAUUUCUUUCUUGGGCCAAUAAUAAUUGAUUUGUGGUACAAACUAUAGUCCAGUCUUGGUAUACCAAAUUAUAUAUGCAAGUAUCCGUUGCUCUUUAAUUUGUUUGCUGAUAAUUUUUUUAAAUGCUUCUCCGAACUUACAUCAGCUCUAGUUUGAUUCUAGUCUACAAUAGGUGAAUUUGCAUCAAUAGCGGGUGAAGAUACUGUCUCAAAUUUACUUAGGAAAGAAAUGAAACAACUUUUGAAGUUCACUGACGAUGGCAAUAAAAGAGAUGAAAUGGAGAUCGACUUUUAUCCGGUGAUAAUUCAUUUUCUUUCAAGAGAGCUCAGCAUUUUGAUCUGGCUGUUUCACUUUUGCCUGGUUUGGGUCCUCAGGAUACUGAUAUCUUGUUUUCUUCCAUAAUUCCAGCACUGGAGGAUGUCGAUGGCUUGAUCCAAAAGAAGGCGUACAAGGUUCUUUCAAUGAUUCUCAAGAAUUCGGAUGGGUUUAUUUCAAGGAAGAUUGAAGAAGUUCUCAAGUUGAUGAGUGAAGUGCGGUCUAAAUGUCAUUUCUCAGCCAAACGUCAUAGGCUUGACUGUUUGUAUUUUGUUAUUGUCCAUGUGAUCAAGGUUUGAUUUGUUUUACUUAAACUCUACAUGCUAGCUAUAUGUAUUCCCUCCAUCCUCGAAAUACUUCACAUUUUCCUUGAUCAGUUGUCCAAAUUUUAUAAUACUACAAUUUGGGUUGAA
RNA transcript from Chenopodium quinoa (quinoa), 4584 nucleotides. RefSeq lists it as uncharacterized. The transcript is spliced from 5 exons. The record is from RefSeq and is a predicted model, not a curated record. NCBI's taxonomy places the organism in Eukaryota, Viridiplantae, Streptophyta, Magnoliopsida, Caryophyllales, Amaranthaceae.